UUGCAGUUGUACAUUACAGUAGCGGUAGUUGUGCUUUCAUAUAUAUAUAUCUCAUUCGUUCAUUAUCGUUGCUACUGUAUUUUACUUACCCAUACUGUUGUUUAUCUCUUCCUGAUCCGGUGAGUACUCCUCGCCUUCUUCGGCUUGCGGUACCCACUGGGAGGGGAGACAUGUUUACAUGUUCUCACCUCCCCCACUAUUUUUCAGGUAUUGCAGGCGUUGAGUUUUGGGACGAGACGUGAGGUACGUUCGUAGCGGUCGAUAGAGCUUCCGACCCAGAUUAUCGGUUUAGUUUUAUCCCUACUAUUCUGUUGUUAUAGCUUAGUCAGUUUAUAUGGUUCAGUAUUUUUAUUACAUUGGAAUAUGUGGACUUUCAUGAAUGUAAUAAAAGAAUUUCUGGAUUUGGUAAAAUAAAAGGUUUUCUACCCCUCGUGGUAGCUUUUAUAAAAGAUAAAAGUUUUCGCGUAUGGAACAGUUUUUAAAAGAUUUUUCGCGGACUUUUGUUUAAACAUCGAAUGUAAAACUACGGUGUGAAUGGUGAAUGUAUGAAUGUAGAGCUAUCUGUAUAUUCAUUUAGUUGUGGUUGUAUACUGUUUGUACUUUUGUACUUGUGCGACGCCGUGCAAAUACAGGGGAGACUCUGUCCGUGUGAACAGUGGAUUCCCUGUAUUUGUGGCGGAUCUGACAUACUCUGGGGUCAGGUGUUUCAAAAAAAAAAGAUUUUAGUCGUUUCCGCUGUUUUUCCAAACUAAAA
Molecule: long non-coding RNA, 754 nt
Filed under: Ananas comosus (pineapple)
Lineage: Eukaryota; Viridiplantae; Streptophyta; Magnoliopsida; Poales; Bromeliaceae
Description: long non-coding RNA (ACOM_LNC039855)
Source: RNAcentral